RNAcentral lists this ribosomal RNA (446 nucleotides) under uncultured bacterium. RNAcentral's name for it is "partial 16S ribosomal RNA". It matches the Rfam family "Bacterial small subunit ribosomal RNA", at positions 338 to 795 of the family's 1533-position model. The record is from RNAcentral.
CCUACGGGUGGCUGCAGUCGAGAAUCAUUCACAAUGGGGGAAACCCUGAUGGUGCGACGCCGCGUGGGGGAAUGAAGGUCUUCGGAUUGUAAACCCCUGUCAUGUGGGAGCAAAUUAAAAAGAUAGUACCACAAGAGGAAGAGACGGCUAACUCUGAGCCAGCAGCCGCGGUAAUACAGAGGUCGCAAGCGUUGUUCGGAAUCACGGGGCGUAAAGCGGGCGUAGGCUGUUUCGUAAGUCGUGUGUGAAAGGCGCGGGCUCAACCCGCGGACGGCACAUGAGACUGCGAGACUAGAGUAAGGGAGGGGGAACCGGAAUUCUCGGUGUAGCAGUGAAAUGCGUAGAUAUCGAGAGGAACACUCGUGGCGAAGGCGGGUUCCUGGACAUUAACUGACGCUGAGGCACGAAGGCCAGGGGAGCGAAAGGGAUUAGAUACCCCAGUAGUC